CCUACGGGUGGCAGCAGUGGGGAAUAUUGGACAAUGGGCGAAAGCCUGAUCCAGCCAUGCCGCGUGUGUGAAGAAGGCCUUCGGGUUGUAAAGCACUUUCAGUGGGGAAGAAAGCCUUGGGGCUAAUACCCUCGAGGAAGGACAUCACCCACAGAAGAAGCACCGGCUAACUCCGUGCCAGCAGCCGCGGUAAUACGGAGGGUGCGAGCGUUAAUUGGAAUUACUGGGCGUAAAGCGCGCGUAGGCGGUCUGAUAAGCCGGUUGUGAAAGCCCCGGGCUCAACCUGGGAACGGCAUCCGGAACUGUCAGGCUAGAGUGCAGGAGAGGAAGGUAGAAUUCCCGGUGUAGCGGUGAAAUGCGUAGAGAUCGGGAGGAAUACCAGUGGCGAAGGCGGCCUUCUGGACUGACACUGACGCUGAGGUGCGAAAGCGUGGGUAGCAAACAGGAUUAGAUACCCCAGUAGUC
RNAcentral lists this ribosomal RNA (465 nucleotides) under Vreelandella stevensii. RNAcentral's name for it is "partial 16S ribosomal RNA". It matches the Rfam family "Bacterial small subunit ribosomal RNA", at positions 338 to 795 of the family's 1533-position model. Lineage: Bacteria; Pseudomonadati; Pseudomonadota; Gammaproteobacteria; Oceanospirillales; Halomonadaceae. The record is from RNAcentral.